This 83-nucleotide transfer RNA is filed under the name Syntrophobacter sp. DG_60. RNAcentral describes it as "tRNA-Leu". It matches the Rfam family "tRNA". From Rfam's summary of the family: Transfer RNA (tRNA) molecules are approximately 80 nucleotides in length. RNAcentral also lists the same sequence under 1 other name. The record is from RNAcentral. Lineage: Bacteria; Pseudomonadati; Thermodesulfobacteriota; Syntrophobacteria; Syntrophobacterales; Syntrophobacteraceae.
GCGAGAGUGGCGGAAUUGGCAGACGCGCAGGACUUAGGAUCCUGUGGGCAACCGUGCGGGUUCAAAUCCCGCCUCUCGCACCA